Molecule: ribosomal RNA, 516 nt
Filed under: Triticum aestivum (bread wheat)
Lineage: Eukaryota; Viridiplantae; Streptophyta; Magnoliopsida; Poales; Poaceae
Description: partial small subunit ribosomal RNA
Source: RNAcentral
UGGAACCUUACUACAUCAGGGUCUUUCACCGUAAACUCUAUGUAUCGUGCGCUCACGCAUUCUGAGGUGCCGGUGAGUAAUAAUAAGAAAAUUUCAAGGUCGAAGAUACCACUAAAAGUUAAAAUCUUCAUGUGGUAUCUUCAUAGGGGAGUUGUGCUAACCAAAGACAACCUCGCACGACGCAAUUGGCAAAGGAGUAAGAAGUGUUGUUUUUUUUCUCAUGCUGAGACAAUCAGACACCUCUUUUUUCAAUGCAACUUUGCACGUUCUACAUGGUCAGUCAUCCAAAUAGCGUCAAGUUUAUAUCCAUCCACAAGUGUUGCCAAUAUUUUUGGUCACUGGUUGGACGGUAUUUCAAAUAGGUUCAAAACGCUAGUGAGGGUGGGAGCGUAUGCCUUACUAUGGUCGCUUUGGCUAUGUAGAAAUGAUUUUGUUUUUAAUGACAAAAAUGCUUCUCUUCUGCAGGCUAUUUUUCGUAGUACAUACUCGCUUCGUACGUGGUCUAGGCUACAAUGA